Molecule: ribosomal RNA, 459 nt
Filed under: uncultured bacterium
Lineage: Bacteria
Description: partial 16S ribosomal RNA
Rfam family: Bacterial small subunit ribosomal RNA
Source: RNAcentral
CCUACGGGGUGCAGCAGUGAGGAAUAUUGGUCAAUGGCCGGAAGGCUGAACCAGCCAAGCCGCGUGAGGGAGGAAGGCGCAGAGCGUCGCAGACCUCUUUUGCCGGGGGACAAAAGGCCGGACUCGUCCGGUCCUGAGGGUACCCGGAGAAAAAGCCUCGGCGAACUCCGUGCCAGCAGCCGCGGUAAUACGGAGGAUGCGAGGGUUAUCCGGAUUCAUUGGGUUUAAAGGGUGCGCAGGGGGGCCGUUAAGGCGGCGGUGAAAUCGCGGGGCUCAACCACGCCGAGCCGUCGGAACUGGGGUCCUUGAGUGCGGCGGAGGCAAGCGGAAUGCGGGGUGUAGCGGUGAAAUGCAUAGAUAUCGCGCAGAACCCCGGUGGCGAAGGCAGAGUGCCGUGCAGCAACUGACGCUGAGGCACGAAAGCGCGGGGAUCGAACAGGAUUAGAUACCCGUGUAGUC